AAUAAUAUCAGCUACGAAAAAUAAUGUCAGGUUUGAACGUUUCAAAAAGAAGAAACGAUAAUAACGCGUUUGUACGUUUUCUUCAGUUUCUGCUUCGAAUACCUGGACGUUUCGCGCGAUAGAGAUCGGUGAAUAAUUCAACGCGGAAUUAGCGGUGGGUGUUUAGCUUUCGAUUCUACGUUCUUCUUCAACGAGUCUUCGUGCACUCGCAGACACGCGAGCGUAAUUGCACUACGUUUUCUCGGUUAUGCGUAGCCGAUGCAAAGUAACGCUCGUUACUUGCUAACCACCGAGUCGGAAGAGCGACGAUGACGAAGAUAAUUGUGGGGAAUUUAACGUUUAGAGAGAGAUUAGUGGCAUUUUACGAGAAGAAGGUGUAUCGACGAAUAUUCGAGUACGAAAUGAAUCGUACGAGUUUAAUUGUAAAUGGUUGUGUAUGGUGUACCGGUAGUCGAAGCUCUUGGGAUACCACUAGUCGCGUUAAAAGCUUCUGAAAGGAUAAAGGAAUUUUCAUUAGGUCGCUGGUUGUUUAGGAAAUACAAGAAAAUUGGUGUUAAAGGAUAAACGAUUCCAAGAAGAUGAGAGAAAUACUUGUUGUUCGGUGUUGAGGUAUUUUGAAGAAAUAACAGAAUUUUCAAUAGGUUGCUUGGAGUUUGAACAUUUUGGAGAAAUAGUAGAGUUUUCAUCGGAUCACUUGGAAGAUUCUGGAAAAAUAAAGGAAUUUUCAUUAGGUUUCUGGUUGUUUAGUAUUGAGAUAUUAUGAAAAAGUAAAAGAAUUUUUAUGUUACGUCACUUGGGGUUAGAAACUUAUGGAAAAAUAGUGUUUUUAUUAGGUCACUGGUUGACUUGAUGUUAGAAAAUCCUGAAAAAUUAAGAGAAUUUUCAUUAGAUCAUUUAGCGGAGGUUCUGGAAAAAUACAGGAAUUUCCAUUAUAUAAAUCGGUGUUAGAAGAUUCUGGGAAAAUAAUAGAAUUUUCUUUAGGUCACUGGUCGCCUUGGUAAUGAAAGAUUUUGAAAAAUUAAAAGAGUUUUCAUCAGAUCGCUUGCAAGGUUCUGGAAAAAUAAAGGAAUUUUCAUUAGCUCACACUGGUUGUUUAAUGUUGUUAAUAUUCUGAAAAAAUAAAAGAAUUUUUAUGUUAGGUCACUUAGGGUUAGAAGCUUCUGGAAAAAUAAUAGUAUUUUCAUUACAUCGCCGAUUGACUUGGUAUUAAAAGAUUCUGAAAGAUUAAAAGAAUUUUCAUUAGAUCACUUAGAAGGCUCCAAAAAAAAAAAAAAAAAAAAAAAAAACGAGAAUUCUCAUUAUGUCACUGGUUGUUUAACACCAAGAGGUUCUUCAAAAAUAAAAGAAUUUUCAUUAAGUCGCUUGGUAUUGAAAGUUUCUUCGAAACUAAUAGAAUUUUUACCAGAACAAUCCUCGUAUUAAAUAAAUAAUCCUCGAUAUUCUUCAAUAAGAAUCACUUUCAUCUGAAAUCGUUCGACUGAUUGUAGGUUAAGGAUACGUAUAAUUUCACAUAUUAAUGCCUUGAAUAAUUGAAACGUUGGCCGAGGAAUUUCGGUGGGUGUGCGAAAAGUAUCGGCCGCGGGAAACGCGUGGUAUUCCGCAUGAAUAAUUUAGCGUUAUGUAACGAUGUAAAGGCAGCAAUCGACGAUCGUUGUUUAAGAGUACCGUGUACCAGCCACGGGCUGUCCACGUUCCAACAGGAAAUUACGAGACCUGGGCACAAUGGUUAUCGAACAGAGAGCCGCUUCCAUAGCUUCUAUACUCGUCGAAUUUCCUAUUUCGUGUCAUCGGUUCGUUCCUCCUCUCUUCCUACCCAUAACCUUGCGCCAUUGUGUUUGGCUAACAGUUUUCCGAUUGUUCGCGUUAAUCGGCGAUAGAACCCAGCUAAAAAAAACCAAAAAAAGAAGAACGUGGGAAAAAUCGAAGGAAAUGAAUGCUUGUAAUUAUUCUUCGUAAAUAUGAACUAUAUUCGUGGAAAAAUUCGCGGGAGAAUAUUUGAACGUAAACGCUAUUUACGUUACAAUUAAGAUAUACUGGGUUGGCAACUAAGUGAUUGCCGGUUUUCUCAUUACCACCUAGUGACAAAAUCCGCAAUCACUUAGUUGCCAACCUAAUAGCAAGUAACAAAGUAAUUAAUUACCUUUCGAUGGCGAUGACCCAAGCUUCUUGCACCAGACCAGAGCUGAACUCGUCCGGCACUACUGCCAACAAUUUCAAAGCAAUUAGUCCAUCUUCCCUCCUUUCGUCUAAUUCUACUUUCAAAUAAACACACGAACAAUAAACGCGCGAUUCAGUUGAACCGAAUUGCGCGUCGUUUAUCGGACGACGGUUAAUUGUCGCAACAAAUCAGAGACACGGAGAAAACAACACAGAUAUAGUGUAUGGUAUAUUUUUCCUUUUAAAAAUCGAUUAAAUGAAACAAAAACGACGAAACGCUACAUUGCUCGAGCCGCAGGUGUUCGUACAUUUCUAUUAGGUUGGCAACUAGGAGAUUGCGGAUUUUGUCGCUAGGUGGUGUUGGCAAAAUCCGCAAUCACUUAGUUGCCAGUCGAAUAUAAUAAGAAUUCAAUAUCUCAGGAAGAAAAUCUUAUUUUUAUAAAUUUAUUUUUAAACACAAAGAGGUCUCAUCGAUAAUUCCAAACUGCAAGAACAAUUUAAAGAUGCGACGUUGGUAAUUAUCUUUCUUUGUUUUUUACAGUCGUUACUCGAAGAUUCUCUUACUUUAUCAGGAAUCAUUUUUCAUCACACUAUGAUACGUUCGUUGUAGAUAGAAUUUUGGAUUGAAAUGUCCCUGAUAUCGCGAUACCGAUCGUUGAUCUCCAGAGUUGUAUUCCAUGGUAUCCGUAUUAAUUUCAGCGUGUACAUCGAAUAAGGUGGGAUACGUAUUAGCUUACGAUUAUUGCGAAACUCCGACAAAUCUUAUUUUAUGUAGCGUUUCUUCGUUACAAGACACGUACGAUACGAAUAGAUCGGUAGAUUUGUAAUAAUCGACCAACGCGAUUUAAUUUCUCGACUAACGAGUCUCGCAAAUAACAUCUUUCAUGUUAGAUUGUGCCAAAAGUUCCUCUCGUUUUAUUAAAAAAAAAAAAAAAAAAAUACACUUUAUAAGAAAGAACAUGUUUUGUUUCACGUUAUUUUAUCGAAUUAUAACGAUCCGUUUUGUUCUAUCACGCUGUUCUAUUUAUGUCGGACAAAUUAGGUUUCACGUUUGUACAAAACUCUCAUAGAAAGAAGACUAAAAAGAAAACAUCCCACUAACCUCAAUAAAGAAACAAAAUAGUCAAACUCAAAGGUCCUGCUGGGGUAGCCAUCCACAUGCUAUUUAGCAAUUAAGUUAGAAAAAUUUAGCAAAUGCCCAGCUGGACAAAUUGUAAAGCACAAAUUAAAUAAUAAAAAAAAGAACGUUUGUAUAAACUUUGCCAGAUAAAGCAGCUAUGUGCAGAUAGCGAAAGACGCUUUUGGGGCAGCUUGAUACUUGAAGAAUUUUUUCUCUUUUCUUUUUUUUAAUUGUUUCUACUUUACAAUUUGUCCAGCUGGACAUUCGGUAAAUUUUUCUACCUGAUAUUUGAAGAUGUAUUGAUACUUGAUGCGACUAAAACUAAGACACGAAGAAAGAAAAGAAAAAAAAGAGGAAAAGAAAAUGAUUAGAAAUUAAAAAUAGAAACUAGUACUCGUGGCCUAGCAGCGCACUUGUUUAACGACACUUAUGAAUUCACCGUCGACCGACGACAAAUUCGAGUGAGAAAUACCAGAGGACGGUCGCGUCUCCGCGCCACGCUACGUUUGCCUUCUAAAAUUCCCGCGCCUUGCCGCGUCUCGUCACGCUGAGUCAAGUGUGGUCUGGAAUGUAAAAGAACCCCGCUCACAAUAGUCUAAGAUUACACGGUUCGAGUGUAACGUUACGAGUAAGUUUCGAUAGGUGGAACACAUAGCUUACGUACGGUUUGAGUCAGACUUCGGUUCCUCCUCCCUCUUUCUCUUUCUCUCCGCCGCCCUUUUUCCCUACCAUGACCUCGGUCUUUGCUUCCCUGCCACUUUACGGAGAAGCCGGAUUUUUUUCUUCCCCCUUCCUCUUCUGCUCGUUAAAAACCAGAUACUCGAACGCCACCGCACCAAACCAGGAACACGCCGUGCCUGCUGAACGAUAACGAGCUAUCCUUCUCGUAAUUUCCACGAUAUUAUACGAGGAAGAAUUCCAGCUAUUUCUUUCUCUCUUUCUCUCUCUCUCUCUUUUUUUCUCAGAAGAGACCCUCUUUCAGCUUCCAUAUCGACUCUCCGCUCUUCCAAUCGUCUCUUCAUUUUUCUAUGAAAAAUGCAGAGCGACGCGAGAUUGCCGCAUUACGAUCUCAUGCGAAGAACACGAGAGAAAAAUAGAACGAGCAGAAGCGUGGAUUUUAAUGCGCAUGAUAUUCGAAAAUGAACAAAAUAUUGGAAAUGUAUUGGGUGGGCAACUAAGUGAUUGUCAUUACCAUCUAAUGACAAAAUCCGCAAUCACUUGGUUGCCAACCAAUAGUAUAAAGAAAUGGGGUGUUUGGCCAGUUAGCUGGUGCGAUCUCCUUAACACUUUACCGACCGAUAGCCUAUUAAUCGGGGUUUUGUCGUCGACAAUUUUUCUCAUUAUUUGAGCAGUAAUUUGUUAUUUAGUAGUAAGGUACCUUGCUCAGUUGCAUUGCUUUGUAAGCUUUCACAGUUUUAUACCAAUUUGAAAAACUUUCGUUCGCUAUGAACGAAAAGAAUGAUAUUGGAGAGUCUAAACCGAAACACAGCUGGCGCCAGGGAGAAUCUGCGCCUGAGAUGCUGGUCGGAGCAAGCGGUCGGUAAAGUGUUAAGAACUUUGAAAAAACUUUGAAACGUGUACCUGAAAUGCGUGGCGAGAAGUAAGCGACAUCUGGUGAAACGCGGAGUAUCGAAACGAUUGCUUUAUUUUUGAAUUUUAUUAGCGACAGUUGCUGGUCGUAACGCGAGAUAUUGUCAUUUCUUCGUGACGAGUAUAUUCGACAAGAAACAGUUAACUGCUUAAAAUAAGUUAAACUAUCGUCUCUACGUAGGUUCCAUUCUUUCAAUCACGUUCGUAGAGACAGGAAUUUGCAUAAAAAUAUCCAUGGUGUAAUUGAGAAUUUUAAAUAUUUAAACCGCUGGCUGCUUUCACUUGCUUUCGGCGAUUAAACGCGAACGUCCGUCGCUUUCUUCAAUACUUCAGAUCAUAUCGAUCGCCGUAAAAUUAAAUGGAAUCAGAAUGAAAUUUCCUAUCUGUUUCCAGUUUAAACCUGAUGAUCUUAAACCUACAAAUUUGUUCUCUUUCUCCGUGUUGCAUUAAAGUACUCUCCACUUGGAAUUAGCAUCGACGUUAGAAAAUCAACACGCGAUCUUCUUACGAAAAGCGACUGAUAAAAAUCGAGCAAAAUGUUCAGCCAGUUCUGGACGAGACACAAUGUACGUUUUUUUUUUUUUAUUAUUUAAUUUGUACUUUACAAUUUGUCCAGCUGAACAUUUGGUAAAUUUGUCUAACUUAAUUGCUAAAUAACAUGCGGAUGGCUACCCCUAGCGGGAUACCAUCUUCGAGUAUGGUCGUCCGUGACUACCAAUAACAUAAACGGUCCAUUGGGGAAGAAUGUUGUCUUACAUCAUCAAUUUAUUAUUAUUUCGCCAUUAUAUGCUUUGAAUAAUAAAAAUACUCUCGUGGAGUCCUGAGCGAAACAUAUGAUUUCGACGUGGCAGUCAGAGUGUUUUAAUCGCCGAAAUAAACGUAUAGGAACACUUAGAUUACACUUAGAAUUGAUAUGAAAAUAGUUUCAGAUUUAUUUAAUAUGCGAUGUACAAGAUAUUCGUCGAUAUACAUUUGCACGCGUCUCAGUGCUCUCUUUGUCUCGCCAUCUUCUAUAUCACAUUACCAAUGGAACAGUUGCAUUCGUCUGUUUUACGAGACGCUGUGCACGCACAUACUCCCACACAUUCAUACUCAUAUAUGUGUGUCACUACUACACGGCUAAUCUAGUGUAGCACACAAAAUUUCUUUUUUUUUAUUAUUUAAUUUGUACCUUACAAUUUGUCCAGCUGGAAAUUUGGUAAAUUUGUCUAACUUAAUUGCUAAAUAACAUGUGGAUGGCUAACCCCAGCGGGAUACCAUCUUCGAGUUUGACUAUUUUGUUUCUUUAGUGAGGUUAAUGGGCUGUUUUCUUUUUGGUCUUCUUUCUAUGAAACGAGCGUAUCUCCGUGAUCAGGAUUUCAACUUCUGACAAAUUUUUACAUCGCCUGAUCGACAAACACGGCGAUGUUUAUGCACUCGAUUUUGUACGCGAACUUUCGCUGCCAGAAUUAUAGGAAAUCCAUCGAGCUGACGUUGGCGAAGCCAUACGCGCGCACCACGAGAGUAAACGGGGCUUCGUGCAAGUAUUUCUGUCCUGCCAGUGCUUAAUCGCCAUGGCCGUUACAUAAACGGCCGCGAAUCGCUUUUGCCAUGAUUUUUGCGUCAGCGAUGCGCUUUAUCGCUCGGUGGGCGUCGAUCGCCGAACGGGUCUCCUGCUGAUAUCACGACGAUUGUAAUUCGACGCUCGGCAACGUGCGAUUUAACCUUCCAGAGAGUUUCUUUUCUAUCGGCAGGCAGCUAAGUGAUUACGGAUUUUGUCAUUAGGUGGCAUUGACAUAAUCCGCAAUCACUUAGUUGCCAAGCCAGAUAUAGGACUUAACGAGAGCAAAUUUAGCUGCGCUUACGAGACGCUCGUUGCAAUAUGCGCGUUCGUUUGCACAAUUUUGUUAUUCGUUUUUUUUUUUUUGCGUGUUGCUUAGCUCUUUCGUAUUUCGUUGAGGGUAGCCGAAUUAUCUAAACUCAAGCUUUUUUAUUUGCUACGAGUUACUUGAAUUAAAAAAAAAAGAAAAAAACGUUUAAACAAUCGACUUGUAAUUCGCAACGAUCCCAUCGUUUUUGGUAAAACAUACACGCGCUAUGACAAUUUCUCGUCCUAAAGUUUCCUCUAUUUAAGCUGCUAUUACGCUCUGUUUACGACUUAUUUACAUGGACGUGGUAAUUAGAAAACAAAGUCGAUGUUUUAUUAGCUGCGUCGAUGUUUUAUUAGUUACUUUCGUUACCAUGAAAAUUGCCAUGCUUCGAAAAUUCUAUUACAGAAUCAGUUUCGUUAUACCGCGUGUUUAGAGCUGACGAAUAUCCAAAAUGACCCAACAACGCAACACUAUAAGUACGUUUUCCUUUCGUUUUGCGUUUCGAACGUCGACGAUUCCAGCGUUAGAUCGGUCGACUGGAGUAUAAUAUUGGCAACUAAGUGAUUGCGGAUUUUGUCAAUACCACCUAAUGACAAAAUCUGCAAUCACUUAGUUGCCAAGCCAAAUAACUCGUCUAAUCUGAACGAGACGCGGCAUCAUCUCGACUGAGGAUAGUCGAAUCAGGUGAAUUUUUAUUUUAAAUGUCAAAUGCUUGCUCGAUGUCACGAUAGAUCUUGGAUGUCUCUUAUUCACUGGAUCGUUUAUUGUCACACGUUCAGGUGUUUCUUACAUCAAUGUGUUACGAUGUUUGCUUGUUAAACGUUUUAUCGUUAGGAAAAAUCGCCAGGAAUUUUGUCUACACGAGGUAGGUUUUGCAUGAGUCGUCGUUUAUUCCAGCUGAAAUACGUUCAAACGGAAACCGAACGAGUCGAUGAAUAAUUAAUAAAUCAACCGCGCAAAGCAACGUAUCCGAUAUCGUGCCCGGAUUCCUGAAAUAAAUAUUCUAUAUUAAAUCGUCCCUUUUUCCUUAUUCUAUCUCGACGUUCAAUGGCUGUCAAAUGUACGUACUGUUUACGGACGACGUUUGCUAAAAUUGCACAAGGCCACGUCGUGUGACGAACAACAAGGUAAGACAAUUAAA
Long non-coding RNA from Bombus huntii, 7858 nucleotides. RefSeq lists it as uncharacterized. The record is from RefSeq and is a predicted model, not a curated record. NCBI's taxonomy places the organism in Eukaryota, Metazoa, Arthropoda, Insecta, Hymenoptera, Apidae. The transcript has 2 exons.